GACGAACGCUGGCGGCGUGCUUAACGCAUGCAAGUCGAACGGAAAGGCCCUGCUUUUGUGGGGUGCUCGAGUGGCGAACGGGUGAGUAACACGUGAGUAACCUGCCCUUGACUUUGGGAUAACUUCAGGAAACUGGGGCUAAUACCGGAUAGGAGCUCCUGCUGCAUGGUGGGGGUUGGAAAGUUUCGGCGGUUGGAGAUGGACUCGCGGCUUAUCAGCUUGUUGGUGGGGUAGUGGCUUACCAAGGCUUUGACGGGUAGCCGGCCUGAGAGGGUGACCGGCCACAUUGGGACUGAGAUACGGCCCAGACUCCUACGGGAGGCAGCAGUGGGGAAUAUUGCACAAUGGGCGGAAGCCUGAUGCAGCAACGCCGCGUGCGGGAUGACGGCCUUCGGGUUGUAAACCGCUUUCGCCUGUGACGAAGCGUGAGUGACGGUAAUGGGUAAAGAAGCACCGGCUAACUACGUG
RNAcentral lists this ribosomal RNA (468 nucleotides) under uncultured bacterium. RNAcentral describes it as "partial 16S ribosomal RNA". It matches the Rfam family "Bacterial small subunit ribosomal RNA", at positions 28 to 507 of the family's 1533-position model. The record is from RNAcentral.